UGUUAAAAAUUUCAUUCGUUUGUAUUGUUAAAAACUGGUGUAAUUGACAGAAUAACCAGAUAAUAACACGCAGCAUGCCUCGUAUAUUUCAUGCUGACAUAAAAACUAAUUUUGUAAUAGUAGAAAUAAAUGAAAUUUUUAAUA
Gossypium hirsutum (cotton) is the source of this 144-nucleotide non-coding RNA. The record is from Rfam. Lineage: Eukaryota; Viridiplantae; Streptophyta; Magnoliopsida; Malvales; Malvaceae.